CGGGGCGGCGGGGCGGCGGGGCCGGGGGCGGCGGGGCCGGGGGCGGCGGGGCCGUGGCGCGGCCGGGGCGGCGGCGGGCUCUAGGGGGGGCCGGGGCGGGCCGCGGGCGCGCUCAUGGCCGCUGCGGCCGCCAUGUGCUGCCGCCUCCCAGGGCCAUGGCGGGAGGGACCUGCGCCGUGCGCCGCUCGAGGCCCGGGCCAGGCUGAGGCGGCCUCGCGCGGGCGGCGGCGGCGGGCGGGGCGGGGCGGCGCAGGCUGACGCACGCGGGCCGGCGGAGGGCGGAAGAGGCGGCGCCGCGGCCUGGGGCCCGCUCCCCGCCGGGAUCCGGGCGGGCCGGGCCGGGCCGAGCCGGGCGGACGGGCGGGCGGGCGGGCAGGGGGCGCCGCGGGGGCUGAGCGGGGGCGGGGGCGGGGGCGAGAGGGGCGCCGCGGGGCGGGGGCGGGGGGUCCCGGGGAGAGCCCGUCCUUGUCCCUGAGGUCCCAUCACCCUGGAGAGACCCCGUCCUCGUCCCCGGGUCCCGUCACUCCGAGAACACCCCGCCCCCCGUCCUCGGCUCCCGUUACCCCAAGAUGACCCCUCCCCGCCCCCCUCCUCUGGUCCUGUCACCCAGAGAAGACCUCUCCCCGCCCCCCAUCCGCGGGUCCUGGCACCCGAGGAGACCCCGGCCUUGUCCCUGGGCUCCCGUCACCCUGGAGCGACCGGGUCCUCGUUCCCGGGUCCCGUCACCCCAAGGAGAUCCUGUCCCCAUCCCAGGCGUCCCAUCACCCUGGGAGACCCCAUCCCUGGAGUCUCGUCCCCCCAUCCCUGGGGCCCUGUCACCCCGGGGAGAUCCCGUCUCCCCUCCCCUGGUCCCUGAGGUCCCGUCACCCAAGGGAGACCCCGCCCACCACCUCUGGGAUGCCAUAACCCUGAAGAGACCACAUCCCUGGGGUCCCGACACCCCAAAAAGGCUGGGUGCAGUCCCCGAAGCCGCUCAGCCCGAGGUGGGACACGUGCCACGGCCCGGGCACCUGGGAGGGAGGAGCAGCCGAGGGCAGUGUCCGGGUGGAGAGAGGACUCAGGUGGUUGCACCGCUGCGUGUCCUGCGGGAAACCUCUCCGGAGGAGCAGGCCCAGACAGCAGGUGCAGAGCAGAUGGAGCCCGCCCCAUGCCGGCUUCAAGAAGCCCCCAUACUCUCUGUCCCUGAAAAGGCAAGUUGA
This 1199-nucleotide long non-coding RNA is filed under the name Canis lupus familiaris (dog). RNAcentral describes it as "lncRNA (ENSCAFG00030002146.1)". Lineage: Eukaryota; Metazoa; Chordata; Mammalia; Carnivora; Canidae. The record is from RNAcentral.